Non-coding RNA from Paramuricea clavata, 2146 nucleotides. The record is from the annotation of a GenBank genome assembly. NCBI's taxonomy places the organism in Eukaryota, Metazoa, Cnidaria, Anthozoa, Malacalcyonacea, Plexauridae.
GUUUAUCAUGAUUCAUGUUAACAAAUCAGUUGCUCGUAUGGAACAUGGCAGUUCAAAUCUAAGGAAAUUCCUGAAGUAAGUACAAACCAUUAUCGUGCAUGCCCGUAAAGUCAGGCGCACUACAAGGUGCAUGGUAUUAGAGAGUUUUCGAUUUAGCUACGCCAUGUAGAACUUGCUUGCUUGCUUGCUUGCUUACCUGCUUGCUUGCUUGCCUGCUUGCUUGCUUGCUUGCUCCCUGGUAGACUCGGAUCAAGUCCGUCUCUCUAGAGUCCGAGGGAGAGCGCGAGGUGCAAUAACGCGGGAAAGUUUGAGGGAGAAGACGGACUUGGCUCACCUGCAAGCGCGCCAAAUUUACCGACCCGUUUUUCCGUCGGUAACGCGUCAUAACUAGAUUGCAAUAAUUUAUGCUAAUUGCAAUAGAGCGGAAAUAACAAAGUAUCUUGUUUCAAAAUGUAUAGCAUGCUGUCUCUUCGUGUCCGGUUUAGUUUAUACUUAAAUGAUGAAUACGUUUUAAGAAGGUUAUUGUCCGACCUAUUGAUAUGACUAUACUAUGUAAAACUGCACAACUAGUGUCACACUAUUAUUUUUUUUACUUAUAUUAAGUGUCACGGCAAACUUCAUGAUCACACGAAAUUUUGAUGCAGUCAGGGAUAUUUUGUUCAGGACAAAUUUUGUGCAUGUAGUCAUAAUAACUAACUAGAAGAGUCUAUAGAUACGAUUUAAUAAAAAGUGUAUCUUUAAAUAUAAGGCUUAUAGUUAUAUAUUAAAGGCGUAUUUUAGUUUCGAUCGCGACGGGUAUUUUAAUAAUUUUGCCCUGACACUUGCGGUUUCCGUAUUUGUAACAAAACCGCUAAAUUAAAAACACCUGUCUAUUAACAUAAUUCCCGCCAAAAUAAUAAAUCUGAUUCGAAACAUUGCAGGUGAGCCAAGUCCGUCUCUCCCUCCUCUCUUGCACCUCGCGCGCCGCUUCGCGGCGCGCUCGAUCUCGUCGCUUCGCGACUCCAACUCUAGAGAGACGGACUUGAUCCAAGUCUAGCUCCCUGGUAGCUAGAGGAUCAUAAACAUUCACAAAGUUCGUACACUUCAUCCAGUUUCAUUUGUUUUAUAUUAACUUUAUUACCAAAUCAUGUGUAAAAAGUAAAUUCUCAUAUUUCAGUUACGAUGAGGAGAAAAUUUCUUGGUUGAGACAAAAGCGAACUCAUGCAUACAGAAAUCCCUGAAAAAAGACGAAAACGUUGUAAAUACAAGUAGUUUGGACAAGACCAACAGUUGCCAAAAUUGUACGUACUUUCCAUCAACACUCAAAGAAGUCAAGUGUAGAACGGGACAUGGUUUAAAUGUGAGGGGCAAAAAAAGUUGUAAUUAUCAUAUUGAUGGUGAUUGUAUUAACAUCGUAGCAACUAUAAAAGUAAUCAAAGCAUAUUCAAAGAAUCAGCAAGUAGAACGUGAUGUCCAUCUCAAGGUUGGAUGUGCGUGCAUGUUGCCGCCGGUUUAAGUUUUAUGAAGCUUCAUCAUCUUUGUUCUUUUCCUAAAUGUAUUGGGAACUCUUAGCUAAAUAUCCGUCUAAGCACGGUUGUUAAAUUGUAGUUAGGGCAUUUUAACUGGUAAAGAUUAAUUGAAAAAAGCAUUUUAACUGGUAAAGAUUUUACUGGUAAAGAUUAAUAGAUCUCAGUUUCGCAUGCAAAUUUUGUCAGUAUAAUUUAUUGCUUGAAUAUGUUACUGAACUAUACUCUAUAUAAUGAGAUGUGGAACACCUAAUUCGACUGACUGUACGAAGGCUGGAAGUCAAUUGUAAAAGGCUUAACUUUUUAAAUGUAAGGAGCAAAACAAGUUGUGAAUAUAAUAUUUCAGAUGCAUGAUUGGUUGGACAUCGUCGCAACAAUAAUAGUAUAUGGAGGGUGUACGUUGGUCAGCGACAGGGUACGUACACCACGUCAUGUCAGUCUCAAGGUUGGAUAUGUGCGUGCAUGUUGCCGUCCUUUGGAUAAAUCUUCAUCUUUGCUUUUUAUCUAACUGUAUUGUGGACUCUCAUGUAAAUAUUCGUCUAAACACCACUAACUAAUACCUCAAGAUUGUAGAUUGUAGUCCUGGCAUUUUAACAAGGGGAACUCAAUGGCACAGAAUUAAUUUAAUCAGAUCUUCUCAG